Molecule: unclassified non-coding RNA, 404 nt
Filed under: soil metagenome
Description: partial contains 5.8S ribosomal RNA, internal transcribed spacer 2, and large subunit ribosomal RNA
Rfam family: 5.8S ribosomal RNA (bases 1-121)
Source: RNAcentral
GAUGAAGAACGUAGCGAAAUGCGAUAAGUAAUGUGAAUUGCAGAAUUCAGUGAAUCAUCGAAUCUUUGAACGCACCUUGCGCCCUUUGGCUAUUCCGAAGGGCAUGCCUGUUUGAGUAUCAUGAACACCUCAACCCUCAUGGUUUGCCAUGACGGGCUUGGACUUUGGGGGUCUUGCUGGAUUGUAGUCAGCUCCCCUUAAACAAAUCAGCUUGCCAGUGUUUGGUGGCAUCACAGGUGUGAUAACUAUCUAUGCUUGUGGUUUUACAUCAGAUAACCUUUAGUGAUGGAGGUUCACUGGAGCUCAUAAAGGUGUCUCUCCUCUGUGAGGACAGCUCUUUGAAUGUUUGAUCUCAAAUCAGGCAGGACUACCCGCUGAACUUAAGCAUAUCAAUAAGCGGAGGA